CCUACGGGGCGCAGCAGUGAGGAAUAUUGGUCAAUGGGCGAGAGCCUGAACCAGCCAAGUCGCGUGAGGGAGUACUGCCCUAUGGGUUGUAAACCUCUUUUGUCGGGGAGCAAAAGCCGGACGUGUCCGGCUGUGAGAGUACCCGAAGAAAAAGCAUCGGCUAACUCCGUGCCAGCAGCCGCGGUAAUACGGAGGAUGCGAGCGUUAUCCGGAUUUAUUGGGUUUAAAGGGUGCGCAGGCGGAUUUUUAAGUCAGCGGUAAAAUCGUGGGGCUCAACCCCAUCGAGCCGUUGAAACUGGGGAUCUAGAGUGUGCGAGAGGUAUGCGGAAUGCGUGGUGUAGCGGUGAAAUGCAUAGAUAUCACGCAGAACCCCGAUUGCGAAGGCAGCAUACCGGUGCACAACUGACGCUCAGGCACGAAAGCGUGGGUAUCGAACAGGAUUAGAUACCCCAGUAGUC
RNAcentral lists this ribosomal RNA (458 nucleotides) under uncultured bacterium. RNAcentral's name for it is "partial 16S ribosomal RNA". It matches the Rfam family "Bacterial small subunit ribosomal RNA", at positions 338 to 795 of the family's 1533-position model. The record is from RNAcentral.